Molecule: ribosomal RNA, 233 nt
Filed under: uncultured bacterium
Lineage: Bacteria
Description: partial 16S ribosomal RNA
Rfam family: Bacterial small subunit ribosomal RNA
Source: RNAcentral
UGAGCAACCUGCCCUUGACUCUGGAAUAACAGUUGGAAACAGCUGCUAAUACCGGAUAUGACUCUGUGCGACAUCACACGGAGUGGAAAGCCCUGGCGGUCAAGGAUGGGCUCGCGGCCAAUCAGCUUGUUGGUGAGGUAACGGCUCACCAAGGCUUCGACGGGUAGCCGGCCUGAGAGGGCGACCGGCCACACGUGGGACUGAGAUACCGGCCCAGACCUCGUACGGGGAGG